RNAcentral lists this transfer RNA (71 nucleotides) under Homalodisca vitripennis (glassy-winged sharpshooter). Its description in RNAcentral is "tRNA-Val". It matches the Rfam family "tRNA". Rfam says of the family: Transfer RNA (tRNA) molecules are approximately 80 nucleotides in length. Their secondary structure includes four short double-helical elements and three loops (D, anti-codon, and T loops). Lineage: Eukaryota; Metazoa; Arthropoda; Insecta; Hemiptera; Cicadellidae. The record is from RNAcentral.
GGCUCUGUGGUGUAGUGGUAGCACUCUCACCCAACAAGUGAGAGAUCCGGGUUCGAGUCCCGGUAGAGCAA